AUUGGCUUCGUGAUGAUUCAAA
This 22-nucleotide microRNA is filed under the name Strongyloides ratti. Its description in RNAcentral is "str-miR-8383-3p". The record is from miRBase by way of RNAcentral. Lineage: Eukaryota; Metazoa; Nematoda; Chromadorea; Rhabditida; Strongyloididae.